AGUGAACGCUGGCGGUAGGCCUAACACAUGCAAGUCGAACGGCAGCACAGUAAGAGCUUGCUCUUACGGGUGGCGAGUGGCGGACGGGUGAGGAAUACAUCGGAAUCUACUUUUUCGUGGGGGAUAACGUAGGGAAACUUACGCUAAUACCGCAUACGACCUACGGGUGAAAGCAGGGGAUCUUCGGACCUUGCGCGAUUGAAUGAGCCGAUGUCGGAUUAGCUAGUUGGCGGGGUAAAGGCCCACCAAGGCGACGAUCCGUAGCUGGUCUGAGAGGAUGAUCAGCCACACUGGAACUGAGACACUGUCCUGACUCCUACGGGAGGCAGCAGUGGGGAAUAUUGGACAAUGGGCGCAAGCCUGAUCCAGCCAUACCGCGUGGGUGAAGAAGGCCUUCGGGUUGUAAAGCCCUUUUGUUGGGAAAGAAAAGCAGCAGGUUAAUACCCCGCUGUUCUGACGGUACCCAAAGAAUAAGCACCGGCUAACUUCGUG
This 492-nucleotide ribosomal RNA is filed under the name uncultured bacterium. RNAcentral describes it as "partial 16S ribosomal RNA". It matches the Rfam family "Bacterial small subunit ribosomal RNA", at positions 29 to 507 of the family's 1533-position model. The record is from RNAcentral.